UACAAGCGAUUGGAUUUGGACGAGGGGUUUACACAAACAUUCCUGAGUGCAUGGGGUUUCAUUAUUAAAAUGCUGCAAAAUUUGCAGGGAAUGGCUUAAAUUUGAAACCGCUGAUCCUGCAAUGGAUCAUAGUGGCAAUGUUCCAUUUUUAAGAAUACACGUUACUUUUAUUCUGUAAUAUUAAUGUUAUUUGAUCACAUGUAUUUAUUUUCUACCAAAGUCAACAUAUUAGGCACGAAAUUUAUUCCUUUU
This 252-nucleotide long non-coding RNA is filed under the name Prunus persica (peach). RNAcentral describes it as "long non-coding RNA (PPER_LNC006696)". Lineage: Eukaryota; Viridiplantae; Streptophyta; Magnoliopsida; Rosales; Rosaceae. The record is from RNAcentral.